ACCAGACUCCUACGGGAGGCAGCAGUGGGGGAUAUUGCACAAUGGGGGGAACCCUGAUGCAGCGACGCCGCGUGGGUGAAGGAGCACCUCGGUGCGUAAAGCCCUAUCGGCAGGGAAGAAACAGACGGUACCUGACUAAGAAGCCCCGGCUAACUACGUGCCAGCAGCCGCGGUAAUACGUAGGGGGCAAGCGUUAUCCGGAUUCACUGGGUGUAAAGGGAGCGUAGACGGCGACGCAAGUCUGGAGUGAAAGCCCGGGGCCCAACCCCGGGACUGCUCUUGGAACUGCGUGGCUGGAGUGCAGGAGGGGCAGGCGGAAUUCCUGGUGUAGCGGUGAAAUGCGUAGAUAUCAGGAGGAACACCGGUGGCGAAGGCGGCCUGCUGGACUGCAACUGACGUUGAGGCCCGAAAGCGUGGGGAGCAAACAGGAUUAGAUACCCGAGUAAG
RNAcentral lists this ribosomal RNA (447 nucleotides) under uncultured bacterium. Its description in RNAcentral is "bacterial SSU rRNA". It matches the Rfam family "Bacterial small subunit ribosomal RNA", at positions 330 to 793 of the family's 1533-position model. The record is from RNAcentral.